UACGUAGGGUGCAGGCGUUAAUCGGAAUUACUGGGCGUAAAGCGUGCGCAGGCGGUCUUUUAAGUCAGAUGUGAAAUCCCCGGGCUUAACCUGGGAACUGCGUUUGAAACUGGAAGGCUUGAGUGUGGCAGGAGGGGGGUGGAAUUCCACGUGUAGCAGUGAAAUGCGUAGAGACCCGGAGGAACACCAGUGGCGAAGGCGGCUUCCUGGUCUGCGACUGACGCUGUGGCGCGAAAGCUAGGGGAGCAAACGGG
This 254-nucleotide ribosomal RNA is filed under the name uncultured bacterium. Its description in RNAcentral is "partial 16S ribosomal RNA". It matches the Rfam family "Bacterial small subunit ribosomal RNA", at positions 524 to 776 of the family's 1533-position model. The record is from RNAcentral.